Molecule: ribosomal RNA, 419 nt
Filed under: bacterium
Lineage: Bacteria
Description: partial 16S ribosomal RNA
Rfam family: Bacterial small subunit ribosomal RNA
Source: RNAcentral
UGGGGGAUAUUGCACAAUGGGCGCAAGCCUGAUGCAGCGACGCCGCGUGGGGGAUGAAGGCCUUCGGGUUGUAAACUUCUUUUGCUCUGAACAAGGCGCACUUUGGGGUGUGUUGAGUGUAGGGGUUGAUUAGCGCCGGCUAACUACGUGCCAGCAGCCGCGGUAAUACGUAGGGCGCGAGCGUUGUCCGGAAUUUUUGGGCGUAAAGGGCUUGUAGUUUGCUGGAAGCGCCUUUCGUGAAAGCUCAUGGCUUAACUGUGGGUUUGCGGCGAGUACGAGUGCGUUUGAGUGUCGGAGGGGAGGCUGGAAUUCCUGGUGUAGCGGUGAAAUGCGCAGAUAUCAGUAGGAGUACCGGUGGCGAAGGCGAGUCUCGGGGCUUUUACUGACACUGAGGAGCGAAAGCAUGAGGAGCGAACAGG